ACUUUUAAAGGAUGGUAGUUAUCCAUUGGUCUUAGGCGCCAUCAUUCUUGGUGCAAAUCCAUGUAAAAGUU
Molecule: transfer RNA, 71 nt
Filed under: Ichthyophis bannanicus
Lineage: Eukaryota; Metazoa; Chordata; Amphibia; Gymnophiona; Ichthyophiidae
Description: tRNA-Leu
Rfam family: tRNA
About the family: Transfer RNA (tRNA) molecules are approximately 80 nucleotides in length. Their secondary structure includes four short double-helical elements and three loops (D, anti-codon, and T loops). Further hydrogen bonds mediate the characteristic L-shaped molecular structure. tRNAs have two regions of fundamental functional importance: the anti-codon, which is responsible for specific mRNA codon recognition, and the 3' end, to which the tRNAs corresponding amino acid is attached (by aminoacyl-tRNA synthetases). tRNAs cope with the degeneracy of the genetic code in two manners: having more than one tRNA (with a specific anti-codon) for a particular amino acid; and 'wobble' base-pairing, i.e. permitting non-standard base-pairing at the 3rd anti-codon position.
Source: RNAcentral